CUCCAAGGUGAAGAGUCUCUAGUCGAUAGAAUAAUGUAGGUAAGGGAAGUCGGCAAAUUAGAUCCGUAACUUCGGGAUAAGGAUUGGCUCUGAAGAUUGAGAUAGUCGGGCUUGAUUGGGAAGCAAUAAUAUGGUUUAUGUACUCGUUCUGGAUAAAUAGAGAUUUUCGGAUCUUGUUCCCCGGAUAGUAGCUACGUAGCCAAUUGUGGAACUUUCUUGCUAAAAUUUUUAAGGAGUUAUCGAAAGAUAUAUUCCUUUUAAAUUAUAACGAUUAUCAAUUAACAAUCAAUUCAGAACUGGCACGGACUUGGGGAAUCCGACUGUCUAAUUAAAACAAAGCAUUGUGAUGGCCCUAGCGGGUGUUGACACAAUGUGAUUUCUGCCCAGUGCUCUGAAUGUCAAUGUGAAGAAAUUCAAUUAAGCGCGGGUCAACGGCGGGAGUAACUAUGACUCUCUUAAGGUAGCCAAAUGCCUCGUCAUCUAAUUAGUGACGCGCAUGAAUGGAUUAACGAGAUUCCUUCUGUCCCUAUCUACGAUCUAGCGAAACCACAGCCAAGGGAACGGGCUUGGAAUAAUUAGCGGGGAAAGAAGACCCUUUUGAGCUUGACUCUAAUCUGGCAGUGUAAGGAGACAUAAGAGGUGUAGAAUAAGUGGGAGAUAUUGAAUUUCGGUUCUUUGUCGCCAAUGAAAUACCACUACUCUUAUUGUUUCCUUACUUACUUGAUUAAGUGGAACGUGUAUCAUUUCCUAGCCAUUAUACGGAUAUAUUUAUAUAUCUUAUGGUAUUGGGUCUUGAUGCAAGCUUCUUGAUCAAAGUAUCACAAGUUUGUUAUAUAAUUGUAAACAUAUUUUAAUGAAAUGAUAGCAUUUCGGUGUUAUUGUUAUAAUUGAAAUAUGGUAUAACUUCAAUACUUAGGUAUGAUCCAAUUCAAGGACAUUGCUAGGUGCGAAGUUUGACUGGGGCGGUACAUCUCUCAAAUAAUAACGGAGGUGUCCCAAGGCCAGCUCAGUGCGGACAGAAACCACACAUAGAGCAAAAGGGCAAAUGCUGACUUGAUCUCGGUGUUCAGUACACACAGGGACAGCUAAAGCUCGGCCUAUCGAUCCUUUUGGUUUAAAGAGUUUUUAACAAGAGGUGUCAGAAAAGUUACCAGAGGGAUAACUGGCUUGUGGCGGCCAAGCGUUCAUAGCGACGUCGCUUUUUGAUCCUUCGAUGUCGGCUCUUCCUAUCAUUGUGAAGCAAAAUUCACCAAGCGUUGGAUUGUUCACCCAUGCAAGGGAACGUGAGCUGGGUUUAGACCGUCGUGAGACAGGUUAGUUUUACCCUACUAAUGACAAAAUUGUUGUUGCGACAGCAUUCCUGCGUAGUACGAGAGGAACCGCAGGUACGGACCAAUGGCACAAUACUUGUUCGAGAGAACAGUGGUAUGACGCUACGUCCGUUGGAUUAUGCCUGAACGCCUCUAAGGUCGUAUCCGUGCUGGACUGCAAUGAUAAAAAUGGGGCAAUUGCAUUGUAUGGCUUCUAAACCAUUUUAAAGUUUAUAAUUUUUUUUAUAAACGACACUAUGGACGUGAUGCCAAUGUUACCGAUAGCAUAGCAAGUUUGGGAGGAGAAUAUCACCCGGGCGACGCGCUAGUUAUACGGUUAAAACAUUAUUUAAUACAAUGACAAUGCCUAGAAUCAAUUGUAAACGACUUUUGUAACGGGCAAGGUGUUGUAAGUGGUAGAGCAGCUGC
This 1739-nucleotide ribosomal RNA is filed under the name Zodion fulvifrons. RNAcentral's name for it is "eukaryotic LSU rRNA". It matches the Rfam family "Eukaryotic large subunit ribosomal RNA", at positions 1865 to 3356 of the family's 3401-position model. Lineage: Eukaryota; Metazoa; Arthropoda; Insecta; Diptera; Conopidae. The record is from RNAcentral.